CUAAUGUUGUGAAAGCUUUAAAACUGAGAUCUGUUAUACUUCCUGUCGUUUUGUGUGUUGCGUUGUUCUGUAGAGCCAGGCUUUUUUCACGUCUGUUUAUUUUCUAGGAAAAAAAAGUUAAAAAAAAAACACAAAAAAACAACUAGUAUUUGAAAGCAUGUUUGAAGUUUGACAUUUUAAACAUGAACAUUUUAAACAUGACAUUUUAAAAAUGAACAUAGAGAGCUUGUUAUGUAUUUAAUUUAUUUUGUAAGGAUUCCCUGGACCAAAACGUACUAUAAUUUUAAGUGACAUGUAAAUCCUUAUAGUAGCAAGUAAGUAAUAGAGACAACGUGCACAGUUCCAAAUAUUCUAUUGUUAUAUUGACCUAAUAGCUGAUGUGUGGAGUGUUGCUGAUAUCUGAUGUCUGGGAAUUUUAAGAAAUCUUCAAGACAGCAAAUUUGGAGCAGGGCACCUUGGCUUUGUACAAACCUUUUGUUCUGAAAUAGUGUUAGAUGACUGUCUGUCAUGACACAGCAUCAUCUGUUUAAACAGCUCAGCCAGAACUCACUGGGCAGUAGAGAGAAUUCAGAAGUGUUCUCAGCUAUUGAGUUUCAUGAAAAUGCAUAUCUCAAAAUGCACAGGAGCCUUGCUUGAGAGGAGACACUCACAAGAAUUAGUCUGAUGGAUUUUCUUGCGCUGGAUUAGUCUUGAAAGCUAGUUUUCUCAUCUGUGAUGUUGGAUUCAACUGGGGCCUAGGUGUAGCUACACAUCUACUGUUUGACUCACUUAUUUCACAGUGUACUCUUACAUGGAAAUAAGCACAGCAGGAGUAGCUCUCCCAAAUUUCAUUCUCUCCCUUAUUUGCACCAUCGUGGGAUCAUUACUUGUUUUUGAUAAUGUAGUCAACUAAAAAAUAAAUAGCUGUUCAGUUAUGGCAUUCUGUCUUUCCCCACUGUCUCCCGAAAUAUUUAAAUAGAAAUAUUUAGCUGAGAAAACAUUCUAAGAGCUGUUUUUUAAUCUCUUACAAGAUAACUUUUGUGUCUGCAGGGACAGUUGCGUUAAGAUGAAGUUACCUACUCUACUGGUAAAAAUAAUCUUUCCAUCAAAUGUUCUUUCUUUCUUCAUAGGAGAUUUUCUAGUUAUACAUCCUUUCCCCAUCAAGUUAAUUGGAAGCAUACAUAUCAGAGCAGCAGUUUUCCAGCUGAGAGUGCAGGAAAUUCCUCAUAUGUAUUACCAGUUAUUUAUCUUUAGUUAAUUUCAUCUGCCUUGAAGAUAAGCUCCAAUCUGUGAAUGUACCUAUGCUCUUUUGCAGAGAGUCUAGAUGCAAAAACUCAAUUCAUAUUUUGUAUUCAAUAAGAUGUUGACAAGCAUGGAAGGAAUUUCUGAAGAUUUUAAAUAUUCAUGCUUCAGCAGCUCUCUGAAUGACUACUAUGUUUGCUUUUUAAUUUUAUUGAAUUAGCUCGUUUGCUUUUUACAAAAAAAAAAGAAAAAAAAAUCUUUCAGCAGACUCUUUGGUGAUUUUUGGAGUUUCCUGGCACUUAUCAUCUCUUCCACUUUGGUAUUUUUAGCCCCUUACCUCCUUUGGAUGAAACUUGCUGCGAGCUCUGUCAGGCUUUGCUAGUAUGUACAUGCUGGCCCAAAGAAGUGGUGACCUUUGAUUUUGCUUAUUAGACCUGGUUAUAAGAAUAUCCAAGAAGUUCAGAGUGAUGUUCUCUAAAAUAUUGUAGUUGUAACACUUUUCAAAGGAGAAUGAAACACUCUACUUUCUAUCCUAUCUUUCCCCCCCAUUACUAGUCUCAGUUAAUUGUGUUGCGUUCAUGUCUAGCUCUUGAGAGAGAUGAUCUACCUAAAUGACUGUCAGAUGCUUUGCUUUUGCAACCUUAGUUUCCUGUUCAUGCUGCCUGUGAUCUGCCUGCAGAGACUCCUUUGGCAUUUUUCCACGGUUCAUGCAGAUAAGUGCUGCUUACCAAGGUGUCAUUUAAGUGUACUUGAAAUUCAGAGUCAUUUUUGUUUGUUAUGACAUCAAAAUGACCUAAGAAAUGCAGUUGUGUAACUGCUGCUGAAAUACACUGCAUUCUGGAUGUUAUAUUCAAUGCCAUCUUUAUUUGAAAGUCGCUUCUAUACAGCCUCCACUGCAUGAGCAAGGCAGUAGAGAAAUGUAAAUUGUCUCCAGUGUUUGCUGAAAGAAUUGCUCACACUCUGGACGUGUUGGUCUGGGGAGGGAAUCACUCACUAAAGGAUAAUGUAGGGCAGAAUUUUGUUUUUUAAAUGGAAAUAUUGCUUUUUCACAGUAAUAAGAAAAGGAGCAAAAGGCCUUUUUUGUGAUACUGACUGAUACUGUUCAGUGGCACGUGAAACAAGAAAAAGUAAUAGCACAGAUAUUUUUAAGUUAAAUUAAAAAUGUGAUGGACUCAUUUCUCAUGUGGUAGCCAUGCCUAUUCUUGCCUCAAUAGGUUUGAUAAGUUCUCCAGUAUGUGCUGCCUUAAGCAAGUGACUGUUUCACAUCAGCUUCAUAAAACAAGCCUGAAUUUACAUGCAUAUGGAGAGUCAGAGUUUAGAUUCUUUUUGUUUCUGCUCUCAAUUAAUAGUUCUUUUAUGUGUAGACCUUCUAUUAUGUGACCUGUGGAGUGGUAGGGUUUGUUUGCUCUGCAGUGUUUGGUCUUUAGUGGCACAGAAGCAGUUGUGCAUGAUCCACUCCAGUUUUCAUGCCACUCAAUGCAUGGAUUUUUUGGCAACCAUUCAUAAUGAACAGCAGAAGUUGUGACAAUCUCACCUGAAAGAAAAUGGAAAAUAAAAAUAAAGGAAACUGUCAUUCCAAUUCCAUUUUUUCAACUCCUAUUUUAAGCAAAUGUGGAAUGGUGGGACUGUUUAUUAUUUCCUUGGCAUACUGUCUGUCAGUGACUGACAGCGACAAGGUCGAAAUAAGCCAAGCAUAAAAACACGUCAGCAUCAGAAAAUUCAAUAUUUCAAAAUGUUCAUUUAGUAAGUGAGGAACUGGUUAUCUGAAUUUUGCUUUGUAAUUUUGCAUCUAGGACCUCACAGCUCUCACAUACUCUCAUCUUUGCAUCCUACAAGUGGGUGCGGGACCCAGAAGUGCUUUAAGACCUUUAAGUGCUUUAAGGGCCAAUAAAAGAGUCCUGUGCUUAUCUGCUUUAGGCUGACUUAACUUUGUUAGGUUGUAUUUCAAAAAACACAUCUUGCCGCAAUGCUAAUGUUGAAUUCAUACAAAUUUACUAGAUUAUUUUAGAUGUAAGUCCUAGCAGAGACUCAGACUAGAUACAAAAUAAACUUUCAAAGAGUUAUAUUAAAGUAAAAAUGGGAUUCUUAUUUAUCAGAAAAAGAAAAAAACACCCCUGUCUCCGGUCCCUUUCUCCUCCCCUCCUCAUGAAAAAUUGAGACAUAUGAAGUUUCACCACCCCUGUAAUGUGUGUGAGGCUACCGUGCUGCACAGCCAUUCCACAGUGCUUAAACUUCAGUGAAACUUAAACCACUCGCUGUGCUGGUGGCCAUGGGUGCUGCCUGAGAGCACUGGGGACGUGUUGAGAGCAUUCCUGAGACAUGCAGAAAAUGGGCUGUGACAUUGGAGUCCUUCAAUUGCUGUUUCUGGGCAUCUUCAGCAGUAAUGAGCAUGUGAAGUGGAGAGGCAGCUAAAGCACAGCUGGAUUUGUGAGAAAAGAGUCAAGUGUCUGCUGGUUUUGACUUUCUGCAUAGGAUGCUGAGCUUGGGGCUUACUCUGUCUAACUUGGAUGCCCAAGCACUAUGUGUGUGCUAGUUGCACCAUGCCCCCGUGCAGUUGGUAGGAAGGAAGUGCUCUCAGGCGAGACAUCCUCUGCUGAUGAGAACCAGAGUGAGGUCAGACCCCGCUCUGAAGGUCAUUCCUCUUCUCACAGCUAUAAGGAGGGAGUAAAACUGAAGUGUUACUGGUUCCCAGUUUGUCUUUCAGGCACUAAGUCUUGCAUUUGAACAUGUAAAACAUUUAUGGAAGCAGCACUGCACUACCUUUGAAGGCAGUCGUAUUUAUGUAGAAAUAAUGGUAACUCUAUUGAAACAUACUCUACAGCUACUGAAAUGUGGAUGCCUUCAUGCCUUAGUUUGCAAGACAUUCUGUCAUCUCACACUACUGCUCUGAUCUAACUCCAUUUUUUUACGAGGGAAAGUGAAAAAACACUUCUAAAUAGGAUUGACUGCUUUAAAUAAGAUUGCAGUUACAACCUGUUAGCUGAACUCUAAUUGUUUGUGCUGAGACAUGAUGAGGGUUCAUCAUUCUGCACUGGUUUUAAAGUGCAGACAUAGGGAACCAUACAUUUAGCUACUUGAACUCUUAGAGCAGCAGAGUGAAAGGGAAUUGAUGGGACAGUUACAGCUAGGGAAGCUUUGCUGGAUCUGCGCCGUCCGGAACUCUGCUAGUGUUGCUAGUGAGUGGGCUUUGAGGGCAACGAUUACCCUGUGCAGUACUCCAACAGCAUUUCGUCUUCAUAGUUAUUUGCAGGUCAAUAACUCAUGAAUUGGUUUGCCCUGUAAACCAGACCAGAUAUUCCUGAUUUGCGUGUUGUCAUUUAACCCAGCAAGCUGCUAAGUACCACCUGGCGGCUCGCUCACUCCCCCUCAGUAGGGUGGAAAAGAGAAUUGAGAAAGAUAAACGUGGGAGAAUUCCUGGGCUGAGAAAAGGACAGUUUAAUGUGAAAGAAAUAAUAACUUGAAAUUAAGAAGAAAAAAAAAAAAAAAAAAGGUGAGGAAGGCUGCUCACCAGCAGCUGACCAAUGCCCUGCUGGACACAGAGUGAAGGCAGCUCCUGUGGCCAGCUUCUGCAGCUUUUAUUGCUGAGCAAGGCACCCUUGGUAUGGAAUAUCCCUUUGGCCAGCUUAGAUCAGCUCCUGGUUUUGUCCUGUUUUGUUCCUUGUGCCUCCUGGCCUCCUCACUAGCAGAACAGUGUCAGAAGCAGAACUGUCCUUGAUUUGGCGCAGCAAUGCUCCCGGCGUUGGUGUAUUAUCAAUGUCAUUUUCAUCCUGUGUUCCAAACACAUCACAGUGCCAGAUGCUCUGAAGAAAAUUAAUUCUAUCCCAGCCAAAGAUAGGCUAACAUGGCAAGGUGCUAAUAUCACUGUCCACAUGGAGCUCUACUACAGUCUUCUACGUAAUCCUCCAGUGAGAAAGCUGGUUUCUUGUUUCUCCCCCCAAUGCUUACCUGCUGAGCUAGGAAUGACAGAGUGAGAGGGGAUUUUUAAUCACGAUGAGAAUUAAAUAUACAUGGCAGUAUUUCCAUGAUUUGGUGAAAAAUCUGCAGGAGAAUGUCCCCAUAAGGAAGAAUUGCUUGUGGCGUGAUUUCAGUAGCCUAGUAAGAAGAACGAUCAGCAGUUAGUGUUUAUUGUUGUCAUUAAUUUUCUCUUCUUUCAGGUAUUAGCAAUGCAGAAGCACGCCAACCAGGGAAAGCACCAAAUUUCAGUGUAAAUUGGACAGUGGGAGACAGUGGUCUUGAAGUUAUUAAUGCUACAACUGGCAAAGAUGAAAUGGGGCGUGCAUCUCGCCUCUGUAAGCAUGCUUUGUACAGCCGCUGGAUGCAUGUUCAUGCAAAGCUUUCGUCCAGCUUGUGCUUGAAGAUCUUCAAGCCUAACCUGUAUCAUGAAACCAAGCAAGGAGCCACUGAGUAUCAAACUGCCAAAGAGUGUUUAUUUAAAGCAUUCCUGAAGGCAGGACUUGGAGUAUGGGUGGAGAAACCCAUAGAACAGGAUCAGUUUUCACUCACAGUCUAAUUCACAGUCUGCACGUCAGUUUGGAAGGGGAGUCACUUUGGAAAUCCUGGUGUCCAGCAUUGCUUUCUGGCAUCUCCAUACCUGUUAAAACAUCUUUUUACUGUUUUUUCUUUUUCAAAACUUGGUAGUAACUGUUUUGGUUUUGCCUAAGUAUUGAAACUCAAUGAUAAUCUGACACAUAAUUGUGUAUUUUGUUAUGAGAAAGUAAUUUCUGGUGUAUUUCUAGAAAUACUUUUACUGUAGAAAAUCUGCAGUAAGGCUGUUUGUCCUUACAGUAUACAAUGACUCAUUUUUUCUGGGUUAAAAUAAUUGCUUUUUUAAUUUGAUGUCAUCAAGUGCAUGAAGAAAUAAAUAUUUAUUUAGAUUUUACACCACACUUGUAAGAAGUAGCUUAAUUUUGUAAGAGGAAAAUAGGCAACAAAGAUGAUUCUUCUCCUCUUUUAAGUUGUUUUUGAAUUGCAGAUGUUGCUAGCAUCAUCUACAUCAUCAUACAUGCUAGAUGUUGCUAGCAUGUAGCUAGACCACUGGGCCAGAAUGAAGUCUGGACAAGUAGUUUUCCCCACUUCCUUGCUCUUUAAAACCAGCUGCUGAGAAAUUCAUGUCUUUGAUGUAUGUAUUUAUUAGUCUAUGAUCCCAUUUUUAACAUGCAGCUUUCUAUUCUGGUUUUAAAAAUACAUUUACCUCCCGUUUACACACAUUGUGAAGUCUUUUUUUUUUUUAAACCAUUGUAAACUGGAAACAACAAAAUGAUUAUUUGUAAGUUAAGCAGUUUAGUCUAUAAUGUGCAGAACUCUGUUUAGAUGUAGGUGAUUUGUAUAUCCUUUUAACUCAUUAGAGUUACAAUAGUAAUUACAACAUGACAACUUAGGAAAAUUUGCUCAUUUUGAGGUCACUAAGCUUGAAUGGCCAAAAAAAAGUCAUUCAGUGAACAUUAAUUGUUCUCUUCUUUAAGAAAUGAAAAGCUCUUGUAUGGACAAAAAGGUUGUUAAAACUUCUCUUCUGCUUUCAUUCAAGUUGUUAUGUCCUUUUCAAGAUUUCAUUACCUUUUGGCUUUACAUGUGUGAUGGUCUUCAUGAAACUAAUUGGGUAAGUUGCUCUUAAAUGUGGUUUAAUCUGCUUUGACAGUUAGUUAGGUCUUCUUCAUAAAGGUGUAAACACUUCAGCUUUAUGUAAAAAUGUAAAAUAGAAAGAAAAUAUUUUGAGAUUUGUUUGAUUAGCUGGUGUACUAAAGGCACUAUUAAAAACUCUUUUUAGUAUAUGAUAUUUAGGUGUGGAUUAGAGAAUGUCUGAAACCAGUUAUCUGCUCCCAAAGUCUAUGUCCAAACCCAUCCUGUGGCUCAUACCUUUUCAAGUGUCAUGCUUGCUUUUUGGAAAGCCCCUUGGUGAUCAUCAUUCUUUUGCAAACAGUGAAGGAGAUGUUCCUUGACACAGAAGUUUCUGACACAAAACCCAAGCCAAGUGUGUCUAAGCUGAGGGGCCCUGUCCCUCAGCUCUACAUCCCCACUUCUUGCCUGCGCUGCCCAGGACAUCAGAUCCAUGGACUGGUCCAUACUUUGAAGUCAAGGGUUGUUUUGAGACCUGCACGGGGUCAGAGAUGCAGCUUUGGGUUGUGUUGGCACAUUUGUGGGGGAAGUGAAGUGGAGCAGAGGAAUUCUUCAGCCAGCCCUAUGGCUAAAGCCUUUGCCUUCUGAAGCUGUCACUGAAGUUACCAUACCUCAGACCAAGCAUCUCUUGGGGGGUUACCGACUACUUGGACCACUGGAGACUUUGUAGAAAGCACUUCUGGCCUAUCAUGAACGUCAAGGAGACAUGCUGCUUUGUUAUUUCCCAAGUAGGAACCCUAUUUCAACUUCAAAAAAGGUCAGGCCUGAUAAAUCACUAGUGUGUUAGUUUCAGCCUCUGGAUUAGUGUCUUGGCAGUGGUGCGUGGAAAUGCAAUUGGUGUGCUUUUGAUGGUAGUACGGAUAAUAGCAAGCACUGCAGGAAGGCAAGCAAAUCCACGGAUCCCUUCAGAAAAGACUGAUGCUUCCAGAGGCUACCAAGUUUUCCAGGUGCCAGUGGAACAAAUGUGCGCUGUAGUAGACAGGCUGUGUUGAUUCAGCUUUGUUGGCAGCUUAAGCUGUACUGUCUGUUUCUGCAUUACAACCGGGAGUGCUCUCAUGGCCUCUGCCAGCUCCACGAAGCAGGAGGGCAACAGUUUCUGAAUGCAGUCUGGGCCUUUGCCAUUGUCAUUUCACUGAGGUUCAGACUGACUUAUUCUAAAGCUAAAAGUAAUCAAACGAUUUUUGGUCAGAAUUUGCAAAUGCUUGGGCGUUACUAUUAAGAUCAGUCCCAUCUUGUGAAUGUUGCAGAAAUGCCUUUAUGGCUGUAAAUAAAUCCGUGCAUAUAUUUUGCAGGAUUGAAGGAAAGCUGGUUGCUCUGUGUGCAUUUUUGUGGGAUCAUUAGCAUUAAUAAGUGAGACACACAUUUUUAAGGGACUUGGUCUGUUGAUAAAUGAGGUCUGUUUAUAAUUUCAAACAAAUAACUUUUACCCAUCUUUCUCAAUUACUCAAUGAGACGUUGAUCUCUCUUUGGAUUUUUUUGAACACUAGGAAAGUAUUAGCUCAAACUAUUUUUUUUAUUAAGUCACAAAUAUGAGCAAUAUAUUUAAGUAUUAUUAUAGACAUAGUUUUUUAAGCUGUUCAAAUGAAUAAUUUUAAUGAAACUGUAAAGGAAAUCUGUUCCAUGUCACAAUCUUUUGAUGAAGGAAUGGUGCCAGGUUAUUUAUGAGGAAUGAGUUCUCUCAUUUAUAAUUCCAGGAUUUUAAAAAGUAAGAAGUUUUCCAGGGUUGUAUGCAAUCCAUAUCUGUCUUGUGGGAGUCAAUAAAAUACUGCUUGGCUUCCUUCA
This is a long non-coding RNA of Tympanuchus pallidicinctus (lesser prairie-chicken), 8616 nucleotides long. RefSeq lists it as uncharacterized. The record is from RefSeq and is a predicted model, not a curated record. NCBI's taxonomy places the organism in Eukaryota, Metazoa, Chordata, Aves, Galliformes, Phasianidae. The transcript has 2 exons.